GUCACUUUGCCGGAGUGGUUAACGGGAUCACCUGCUAUUCGCAGAUUCAGUGGUUGUGCGUUGCACGCGAGUGUUCGAAUCGCUCAGGUGACG
RNAcentral lists this transfer RNA (93 nucleotides) under Ganoderma leucocontextum. Its description in RNAcentral is "tRNA-Ser". It matches the Rfam family "tRNA". From Rfam's summary of the family: Transfer RNA (tRNA) molecules are approximately 80 nucleotides in length. Their secondary structure includes four short double-helical elements and three loops (D, anti-codon, and T loops). The record is from RNAcentral. Lineage: Eukaryota; Fungi; Basidiomycota; Agaricomycetes; Polyporales; Polyporaceae.